CCUCUCUUUUUUAAUGUAAUGCAAAUCCACAAUUAGAAAGAUCCAAAGCUCCCAAACUCUAUAAUCGCUCCAUUGUCAUCAGCUCCUUGGGAGGCCUGCGAUCUAUGGUAUCCUCGCAGAAGAGAUUCCAGAUGAAAGCAAAGUAGCAUAUCUCUUUUUCGUGCUGCUGCAGUUGUUCCUGGAUUUUGGUAGAGAUGGAGUCUCCACUACGAAAGAAUCCUCUCUAAUGUCCACCACAUUCUUUGAAGCUGACUGAGUUCGGAACUCCCGAUUGACUUUGAGAGUAAUAUAGAAGUAGAUCAAUAAUAUACGUGGAUAA
This is a non-coding RNA of Prunus mume (Japanese apricot), 319 nucleotides long. The record is from RefSeq and is a predicted model, not a curated record. Lineage: Eukaryota; Viridiplantae; Streptophyta; Magnoliopsida; Rosales; Rosaceae.